RNAcentral lists this unclassified non-coding RNA (255 nucleotides) under Hevea brasiliensis (rubber tree). Lineage: Eukaryota; Viridiplantae; Streptophyta; Magnoliopsida; Malpighiales; Euphorbiaceae. The record is from RNAcentral.
CUCUGAAUGAGUCGAAGGUGUAUCUUCUUUAACUUUCAAUAACUUGCUAACUCCAAAAUUUGCUACUUUCAGGUGGCCAGAAUCAUCCCUCAGAAUAUUUCUUGCAAUAUCAAGGGCAAGUCUCACAACCGUCAUUGUUUUUAUUUCUCUUUUUCUACUCAAUAAUGCUCCUAGAUCUCCCUUUGGUAAAUAUUCUGUAACGAUCAUCAUCGGCCAACUUUGAGUAACAGCACCAAGAAACUGGACAACAUUGGG